GACGAACGCUGGCGGCGUGCUUAACACAUGCAAGUCGAACGGAAAGGCCCUGCUUGCAGGGUACUCGAGUGGCGAACGGGUGAGUAACACGUGGGUGAUCUGCCCUGCACUUCGGGAUAAGCCUGGGAAACUGGGUCUAAUACCGGAUAGGAGCCAUUUGUAGUGUGAUGGUUGUAAAGUUUUUUCGGUGUAUGAUGAGCUCGCGGCCUAUCAGCUUGUUGGUGGGGUAAUGGCCUACCAAGGCGGCGACGGGUAGCCGGCCUGGGAGGGUGGACGGCCACAUUGGGACUGAGAUACGGCCCCGACUCCUAAGGGAGGCAGCAGUGGGGAAUAUUGCACAAUGGGCGCAAGCCUGAUGCAGAGACGCCGCGUGGGGGAUGACGGCCUUCGGGUUGUAAAAUCCUUUCGCUAGGGACGAAGCUUUUUGUGACGGUACCUAGAUAAGAAGCACCGGCUAACUACGUG
RNAcentral lists this ribosomal RNA (465 nucleotides) under uncultured bacterium. Its description in RNAcentral is "partial 16S ribosomal RNA". It matches the Rfam family "Bacterial small subunit ribosomal RNA", at positions 28 to 507 of the family's 1533-position model. The record is from RNAcentral.